AGGGAGAGUAACACACAUUUAUGCUGAAGUUGGGCAACUCCAGGAUAACAGUGAUGAAUCACCCUGUGGAGACGGCAAAGGAGAAGGGACAAAGAGCAAACUAAAGAGGGGAGGUCACGCAGCUGAGGACGUCGCCACUGCAGAGAACAUCUACCAGAACUCUGAGUAGUCUUGGUGCUAGUGUCAAGAUUCAUCCAGUUAUCCAAAGAGUUUACAUACGUACAAUAGAAAACUUAUUCUGGAGCUUGAUAGACAUUUUGCCACUGCAGAGAACAUGUAGCCUACCAAAACUCUGGGUCUAGGCUAGUCUAGGCUCUAGUAUGUGAAGAUCAAUACAGUUAUCCAGCAAGUUUACACACAAUAGAUAACUUAUUUUAGAGCUUGAUAGAAUUUUUGUUUCUCAUUCAAGAAGUUGCUAACUUCAGUAGUCUGAUUGAUGUUACUGGACAUGCCCAGUAGUCCAAAGAAUUCUCGACUCGACAAAGAAGUUGCACGUCAAGACGUGAAGAUUUAUUAACGACUCUGUACAGAGCCUUUGU
Long non-coding RNA from Engraulis encrasicolus (European anchovy), 539 nucleotides. RefSeq lists it as uncharacterized. Lineage: Eukaryota; Metazoa; Chordata; Actinopteri; Clupeiformes; Engraulidae. The transcript is spliced from 3 exons. The record is from RefSeq and is a predicted model, not a curated record.